RNAcentral lists this ribosomal RNA (483 nucleotides) under uncultured bacterium. Its description in RNAcentral is "partial 16S ribosomal RNA". It matches the Rfam family "Bacterial small subunit ribosomal RNA", at positions 28 to 507 of the family's 1533-position model. The record is from RNAcentral.
GACGAACGCUGGCGGCGUGCUUAACACAUGCAAGUCGAACGCUGAAGCUCAGCUUUUGUUGGGUGGAUGAGUGGCGAGCGGGUGAGUAACACGUGAGUAACCUGCCCCCUUCUUUGGGAUAACGCCCGGAAACGGGUGCUAAUACUGGAUAUUCACUGGUCUUCGCAUGGGGGUUGGUGGAAAGUGUUUUUCUGGUGGGGGAUGGGCUCGCGGCCUAUCAGCUUGUUGGUGUGGUGAUGGCCUACCAAGGCUUUGACGGGUAGCCGGCCCGAGAGGGUGACCGGUAAGAUUGGGACUGAGAUAAGGACCAGACUCGUACGGGAGGGAGCAGUGGGGAAUAUUGCACAAUGGGCGCAAGCAUGAUGCAGCGACGCCGCGUGAGGGAUGGAGGCCUUCGGGUUGUGAACCUCUUUCGCUCAUGGUCAAGCCGCAACAAUGGUUGUGGUGAGGGUAGUGGGUAAAGAAGCGCCGGCUAACUACGUG